CCAGCCCCGCUCCGCCCUCACCAUUGCCUCCGGCACCCUUCCCACCGAGCCCCGCUCCUCCGAGCCCGGAGCCCCCAAGCCCGGAGCCGCCAAGCCCAGAGCCACCUAGCCCAGCGCCCUUGGCUCCGUCACCGCCCUCUCCGGAUCCGCCCUCGCCUGCGCCUCCGUCUCCAGCGCCUCCCUCGCCAUUUCCCCCGGCACCCUUCCCACCAAGCCCCGCUCCGCCGAGCCCGGAGCCCCCAAGCCCGGAGCCGCCAAGCCCAGAGCCACCCAGCCCAGCGCCCUUGGCUCCGUCACCGCCCUCUCCGGAUCCGCCCUCGCCUGCGCCUCCCUCGCCAGCACCUCCCUCGCCACUUCCCCCUGCUCCCUUCCCACCAAGCCCCAACCCGCCCAG
This 394-nucleotide long non-coding RNA is filed under the name Chlamydomonas reinhardtii. RNAcentral's name for it is "long non-coding RNA (CREI_LNC000760)". The record is from RNAcentral. Lineage: Eukaryota; Viridiplantae; Chlorophyta; Chlorophyceae; Chlamydomonadales; Chlamydomonadaceae.